CGGUUUUUUGAAACUUUGUUCACUCCUUACGGGGGAGACAGUCAUGAGACGUGAGUAUAAGACCUGAGUGUAAAGACCUUAGGGUGAAGCAAUUGGAGGGCAAGCUUUGGUGCCAGCAGCCGCGGUAACUCCAACUCCAAGAGUGUCUAUGGUGGAUGCUGCAGUUAAAGGGUCCGUAGUCGUGAAUGCAAUUAAAUGUCGUUGUUCAAUAGCGAUGAGUUUGCUAAUGUUUGCGGAACGGAUAGGGAGUGUAGUAUAGACUGGCGAAGAAUGAAAUCUCAAGACCCAGUUUGGACUAACGGAGGCGAAGGCGACACUCUUAGACGUAUCUUAGGAUCAAGGACGAAGGCAGGAGUAUCGAAAGUGAUUAGACACCGCUGUAGUUCCUGCAGUAAACUAUGCCGACAGCCUGUGUGUGAGAAUACGUGGGCGGGAGAAAUCUUAGUGUUCGGGCUCUGGGGAUAGUACGCUCGCAAGGGUGAAACUUAAAGCGAAAUUGACGGAAGGACACUACCAGGAGUGGAUUGUGCUGCUUAAUUUAACUCAACGCGGGAAAACUUACCAGGGUCAAGUCAUUCGUUGAUCGAAUACGUGAGAAUGGCAGGAUGGGUGCAUGGAAGGACC
This 624-nucleotide ribosomal RNA is filed under the name Enterocytozoon bieneusi. Its description in RNAcentral is "SSU rRNA". It matches the Rfam family "Microsporidia small subunit ribosomal RNA", at positions 288 to 915 of the family's 1311-position model. Lineage: Eukaryota; Fungi; Microsporidia; Enterocytozoonidae. The record is from RNAcentral.